GCCGAGUUGGCGGAGUUUGGUUAAACGCGCUAGCCUUGAGAGCUAGUGUGCAUAACGCACGCGCAGGUUCGAAUCCUGCACUCGGCG
Molecule: transfer RNA, 87 nt
Filed under: Candidatus Aenigmatarchaeota archaeon
Lineage: Archaea; Nanobdellati; Candidatus Aenigmatarchaeota
Description: tRNA-Ser
Rfam family: tRNA
About the family: Transfer RNA (tRNA) molecules are approximately 80 nucleotides in length. Their secondary structure includes four short double-helical elements and three loops (D, anti-codon, and T loops).
Source: RNAcentral